CUCUCGAUUAGCAUCCACCUCCUCUCUCGAGUCCGACAAAAAGUAAAUUCUAGGUCUCGUGGGAUUCCAAUGAUAUCCUAGGAUUUUUUCUAUAAAAACAAUGCCACCUAUUCUCUUUAGGCAUUGCCCCUCAUGCAUCCUCAAUCAAACUGCCAUUGAAAUCUAUGAGAUUUUCUUGAUUUUUCAUUAAGCAUUAUUCGCAAACCACCACC
Molecule: long non-coding RNA, 212 nt
Filed under: Elaeis guineensis (African oil palm)
Lineage: Eukaryota; Viridiplantae; Streptophyta; Magnoliopsida; Arecales; Arecaceae
Description: long non-coding RNA (EGUI_LNC079940)
Source: RNAcentral